CCAGUUCUGAGCAAGCUUCGGGACGGGAGCCUUGCCUUCAAAACUCAUUACAACUUCCAUUUCUUUGCUGUUCCUUUUGGAAAUAUUUUCAUCGGUUGAAGAAGUCAGACUUGCUAACCACUGCUCCAAGACGCUUCAAUUAUGUCCAGACUUCAGACUUCUCAUUGGUUUGCCUAAAACGCGUGUGCAUCAGUCAGAGACAGCAGAGGCAGACGGAAGAGACUGUGGAGCCAGACUGCCCAGAUGGAAUCUGUGGGACCUUGGGAAGUGAGUGAUCCCGUGCCUGGUCUCCAUGUCUGUCAAAUGGGGAUGAUACUAAUGCCUGCCUCUGAGGGGGCUGAGUGGAUUCCUGGCAGGGCAGCUGGACCUUGCCUGAUCCUGGUAAUAUUCUACUAGUAAAGAUUAGCACUUAUUAUAUGCCGUUAAUAUGGUUGAAACACUUGGGUACCUUAUUUCACACGAUGGCAAUAACUUAUGAAAUCAGAAGUGUAAAAUGAAUCAUAAGUUACAUGCUCUGGAAAUUCCUGCUACUUAUUUUUUUUAAGUUCCAAUGUCAAUUUUAUGCAACGGGAAGAAAAAAAAUCAGUGUGUGUGUGUGUGUGUGUGUGUGUGUGUGUGUGUGUGUGUGUAUUCAGGCUUUUCUAAAUCAAGUGUGCUGAACUUAAGGUAUUUCUCUACAGCUUAUUGUUAGGGGAUUUUUUUAAAGCAACAUCAUUUUCUUUUUCUCUUUAAUUUUAACAUUCAUUAAUUUGUGAGAGUGAGAGAGUCAGAGCACAAGCAGAGGAGGGGCAGAGAGAGAGGGAGACACAGAAUCCAAAGCAGACUCCAAGCUGUCAGCACAGAGCCCAGCGCGGGGCUCGAACUCAGGGACCACGAGAUCAUAACCUGAGCUGAAGUCGGAUGCUCAACUGACUGAGCCACCCAGGCGCCCUAUGAACAUCAUUUUCUUUAAAACACAAACAAUACAGCCUCACUAUUAAAAAGGGAGGUGAGAAGAAAAUCAAAGAAAAAGUGAAUAUUGCUUGUAAUCCAACCACCCAGAAAUAAUAACUGCUAAUAUUCUGACAUACUAUUUUCCAGCCACCUAUAUAUUUUUUAAUGUAUAUGUCAUUUUGGUGAAGAAAAUGCCAAAACACUGCUCUAGAACGUUUAUCUAGAAAGUGCCGCAGGCUGGGACAACAUUCUGGAAUCCAAUUUUCAAUCACACACAUCAGCCACCUCUGUGAUAAAACACGAGUUACGUAAUAAAUCAAAUUUUCACAUUGAAAUCCAAAUAACGAAGUGUUAACCUGUUUAUAUUUUAUAGCCACUUACUUCUGUCAAAUGUUCCUCCUAAAAUGGAGCACAACGACCUCCCACUCCUUCCAAGUCUGCUCUAAGGAGAACACAUGUUAGAGGAGACACCACGCAGAAAUGCAGCAGGGAAAGUAAGAGGAGGCCAGGAGGUCUGCAGCAAUGUGACUUUGUGUUUGUGGCUCAACGAUACCCCCACGUCCCACUGCACCUCAGGGUCCUCCCGGGUCUGACGCAGUGGGGAGCAGUGUAGAGGCUGGAAAUGCUUUUUGGCCAUUUGUUUCUUGCCCCUAGUUAAUCACUUAUCUUUAAAACACAUCGAGUGAUGGUCUCCUCACUGUGCUUUGCACUUUAUGCAUUACUUCAUGUAAUCUACACCAGACAAGUAGAAUCAGGUAUGAUUACUGUGCCCAUCUUACAGACUGGAGAACUGAGAUUCAGAGAAGUUAUAGGUAACUUGCUUGGGGCCACAACAUUAGGUGCAGAAGAGCAUGCAUUGACUAAGAACUGUCAGCCCCGCAGUGCUGCCAUCCUGGAAGGGCUCCAUCCAAUGGGUAAUGCCAACAGUGAAGAGAGACUCAGGGGCAGGAAAGAUGAUGGACAAAUACCCAUGUUGUAGGGUUUUGUGAAGGAAAUACAUUUUGGCUUUCGUCUACUUUCUAAAAUAAGCAUUUUGUUAAGGAAACAGUUACAUAAUAAACUCUCUUGUACUCACUAGGCUACAAAAAAAAUAUUUACCUAAUAACACUUAAUAAAUAAGCCUAGUAUUAAUGUUGAGGAAAUUCCAGGGGAGUAUAUUCUAGCAGGCUUUUUAAAAACAAAUACAGCAUUUCAGAUCUAAUUGGUUUUACAUUUACACUGUGUUGCAUUUUGCUUUUCUCACUUAGCAUCUGAUCGUGACAUUUUUCCAUGUCUUUAAAUAUUUUUCAGGAAUGUAUUUUCAGGGCCACAUAAUACUCAGUCAUAUGGGUGUAUCAGAAUUUAUGUAGCUCUUCCAUGAGCUGUUUCUGAAUUUUCCUUAUUAUAAAUUGGGCUCUGAGUAACAUACUUGUACAUAAAAAAAAAUUUGUAUCUAUUUUUUUUUAAUUCUGGAAAUUUUAAAUAUAGCCUGGAUCUGUAGAACACACUAUCAAAUAUGCUAAAAGAAAGCAAGGAAACAUCCAGAAGAGUGUGAACUGUCCUCAGGUGACCUCAUACAUCAAUCACCAUCGACACAGACAUUAAUUAAAUAAUAUUUCUUUUUCAAGAAGUCUUUCUCAACUGGAUCAUUUGCCCUUCCUAGAGAGUUCAGAUUGAAUAUGUAAUACCAGGAGCAAAUGCGACAGGGAGCAAAGUUCUGUUAACAUUUCCCAAAGCAUCCAGCCCCUCCUCUUACAAGUGUCGAGGAUCAUCAGCCCAAUACACCUUCAAACGUCACAUGCUCCGGCAUAUCCAUAAUUAAUUUCCAUUUUCAAAUUCCUGAGAUGGAUUCUGCCUUUGCUCUCAAGAGUUUAGAAUGGAUGGGUCAAGAGAAUUGUUUUUAUGACCUCAGCACCCUCUUUAUUCUGUUCCUUUAGAAAAUUCUAGUCUAUCUUUAUUUUGUGAAAAAAAAAUCACUAAAAACAUUAUGUUAUUCGUCUUCUGCUUAAAAAAUUUGUAUAUUUUUACACAUUAAAAUCCACCUUUAUAAUACUAUGACGACUUUUAUUCAAGAUGGUAGACUAAGCUGAGACAUUAUUUCUACCUAAAUUAAUACAAACAUAGACGCCUAAAAUAAUGACAAAAAUAAUCACACACAAAAAUAAUCAUAUGUGAAAGUUAAUGAUAGGAUACCUGAAAGGUAAAACUCCUAAAAGAUAGAAAUUCUAUGGGAUUACAGAUUAACAAACAAACAAACAAACAAACAAACACCAGUGAGUGCUACUUCAGAAGGUGGGGGUGGAUACGGCGUGCUGCCAUGCUCAGAAGAAUGGAAGCUAGGAAGAGAAGGAGGUACAGGGGUCACAAACCAGUGCUUAGCUAUGGUACCACAGGGGGAAACAGUCAGUCUUCAGCCUCCUCCCCACCACCGUGCCAGGUCAAAAUGCUAGGAAGUGGGUGUCUGUCUCCAAGGGUAGCAGUGACUACUGGGAGCUAUCUCAGUGGGUACCAGAUGGCUUUGUUUUAGACCUAACUAUAGUGGAUGCUGCAAUGCACCUGUCAGAUUUCUCUUCAGGGCUGAAAGAUUUAUUUUCCCAGCCUUUGGGGACCAUCUUUGACUGUCAGCCCCUCUCUGGAAAUGCCUUGGCUAUAGAGGGUCUUCUCCCCUAGGAUCGUACUUCUUUCCCAUGGCCCACAUCCAGUGACAGAUCACCAUUGAGCUAAAAAGGCCUGGUUCUCUCACCCAAUUCAAGACUACUCUGAAGGGGCAUGCUGGCUUCAGAGACCCCUGGAGACUGGCAGAGUCUUUGGUGAGACUAUCAGAGCACUGUUUGUUUGUCCUCUACCCAGCUCUGCUCCAUGUGACCACCCCCAAAGCACUCCCUAAUAAACUUCCCACAUACCAAUGUCCAUCUCUGAGUCACCUUACGGGAGAUCCCAGCCAAUAAAACCACCCAAAGUUCAGGCUUAGGCCUCCAUGCAAGAUAGCCCAGAGGCACAGACUGAAUGAAGCCUUAAUCAACCCAAACACUUUCACGUCACAUGUCAUAGACAAGCUCAGCCACUGAGUCACCCCUGGCCAUGUGCCUUUUCCAAACAUAUCGCACAAAAGUAAAAAUAACAACAAAACACUGGAAACUGAUGUUGCAUAUAGUAAGUCAACGACACAUUCCAUGUGAAAGAGUUGACGUAAACACAGACGGAAAUCUUUCCUAAAGAGGCACGGGAUGUCAGAGGGUAAUGCUUAACAUCUUUAAAAAUGCUCUCAAAGACUGCAUGUCAUUGUAUUUUCCCAGCCCCGGGACCUGGGCCUUACUCAGUCUGUUUCAUAAAUGUGGAAACUGAGGUUGUUGCCUGGACUUCUGUACUCGAGGACAGGAGUUGUAUCUAAAUCUCCUCAAGGACGUAAUAAAAGUGGAGUUGACCUCAGUGUCAAUGUUAGUAUUGAAGGGCUGAUCCACUUGUGAAAUACAGCACCGUAUUGAUACAUAUAGAAAAGUUAUUAGUUUGUAGUUAUAAGAUGCGUGUCACUGCACUGAGCAUGACACACGUGCGAAUCGGCACCGUUGGCCAUUGAUUUAAGCUAUUAGAAUAGCAGCUGGCCUUCUUCAAUCAAGCAGGCAAGUGGUAUCCGUAACAAGGAAGGACCUGGCAAAGGUCCAGAAACAAAGCAAUUUGCUAUUUUCCAUUUCCCUAAAUCCAUCACCAAAAUAACAGAGAAAACGCUCCCAGUCCAAUCACUUUUAUAUAUGCUCAGGCUAAACGAGAUGAAGGCCCUUGGCAGGCAAAACAUUCAGUAUGCGCUUUAGUACUGUCGAUAUAUGAAGCAAUCAACCCAGUUGGGCACUGUGUAAAUGUAACGGCAAACAUUUUAAUAAUAAACUAGAAACAUUUGGGCCCCUCAACCAGGUACGUGUGCCCAGAGCCGGUUUUUGGGAUUAAGUGUGUGGGUAGGAGGAGAAACAGGAGGCUCCACUGGGGAGGUGAGUGCCUCCCAUUGCAAAGUGGAAAAAAUCUGGAGGGAUAGGAUAGAGCCUGAACAAAAUCUGUACGUAGUACAGUAUAUAGCAUUUAGUCACAGAGCUCAAAGUGAGGUUUGGAAGUCCAUCAUUAAAUAACAUUAAUUGAUAUAAAUAACUACCAUUUACUGAGCAGUGUCUGUGUGUCAGCUUUAGAUUCACCUUCAGUACCUCACUGAUGCUUGCCUUUUAGAAGGAACAGAAGCCCUGAGAAGUUAAGUUACUUCACCCAGGCCACAGAGCUACUAAGGCUGAGAGGUGGCACUUAGAUCCCAGUGCUCAGAUUGCAGAGCCUGGGGGUUUGCCUGUCACAGAUGCUAUGAGGACCAGAGUUGGGAUGGUAAAAAGCAUGUACCCAGCCUAGGAAGCUUCGGGAAACGUUGGCUCCUCUCCCUGGGAUAGUCCAAAGCUGGUGGGAUCUAAAGAGGUAGAACAUAACAUUUUGCUGCCUUUUUAAAAUGCUCAAUAAAAUCAGACCUUCCCUUAUUUUAAAUGUCUCAAUCCCAGAUACUCAGGUGACACCUAGAAGGGCAUAAAUACUGGAGAUGGAGUCUUGGUGCUUGGAGUCUUGGCGGAGACAGAGUGAUAAAGAUAAAAGCACCAGGGGUUUUGUGCUCAGUCACCAAUAACUUCCUAGAGGUUUGUAAAUCCCCUAAAGGCUGCCCAGAUCUCCUGACUCCUGCCAAUGGCCAGUACUGACGCCUCUACCCCUACUCAAACCUACCUGAUCUUUAAAAAAUUCUGACUAGGACAGGCAAGCUGUCUAAAGCCAUCAACCCACAGGAGGGGUUCCAGAACCAACCUCUGUUUUCAACUCCUGGGUGGUUAUACAGUGGCUUCCUGCCUGCUUGUAAGCCUGGGUCUGUGCCUCAAGCAAGGGGGGGGCAUCUUAUUAAAAUUUACUUAGGUGCUUUUCUUUUCAGAUUUUCCUAGCUGACCUCCCUGCUCUUUUGCCAGAGGCAUCUUUAGCUGUAGGGAGGAUUAGGAUGUUGAAUCAGGAGUGCAAAGAGAGUGAAAGAUUUAAUAUUUGGCCUAAUGACUUAAACGAAACAAGAGUCCUGAAAGCCAGAAAAGGGCUGAUUCGCAAACAUUUUACUGUGAGCCUGAGGUAGAGCUAAACCAGGAUCGCAUGGAGGAGAGGUUUCCACCCACCCUGGGACCUUUUAACCUGUGUAAAGGAGACGGGGAGGCUGCUAGAGAGGGAGACAGAUGGGAAGGUU
Molecule: long non-coding RNA, 6151 nt
Organism: Acinonyx jubatus (cheetah)
Lineage: Eukaryota; Metazoa; Chordata; Mammalia; Carnivora; Felidae
Exons: 3
Source: RefSeq, a predicted model, not a curated record